RNAcentral lists this small nuclear RNA (172 nucleotides) under Cairina moschata (Muscovy duck). RNAcentral describes it as "domestica (muscovy Duck (domestic type)) U1 spliceosomal RNA (ENSCMMG00000016898.1)". It matches the Rfam family "U1 spliceosomal RNA", at positions 21 to 166 of the family's 166-position model. From Rfam's summary of the family: U1 is a small nuclear RNA (snRNA) component of the spliceosome (involved in pre-mRNA splicing). Lineage: Eukaryota; Metazoa; Chordata; Aves; Anseriformes; Anatidae. The record is from RNAcentral.
AUAUCUGCAGCUGUACAAAAGAAAGCUAAUGAGAAGAUCUAUGAUUAGGUUUUCCCAGGGCGAGGCUCAUCCCCUGCACUCCGGGUGUGCUGACCCCUGUUAUUUCCCCAAAUGUGGGAAACUCGACUGCAUAAUUUGUGGUAGUGGGGGACUCUGUUCGCAGUUUCUCUUG